GUGCUCACUUUGGCAGCACAUGUACUAAAAACAGAACGAUACAGAGAUCAGCAGGCCCCCUGCGCACGGAUGACAUGCAAAUCAUCUAUCUGAUAAGGGGCUUA
This is a small nuclear RNA of Zalophus californianus (California sea lion), 104 nucleotides long. NCBI's taxonomy places the organism in Eukaryota, Metazoa, Chordata, Mammalia, Carnivora, Otariidae. The record is from Ensembl.